This 352-nucleotide long non-coding RNA is filed under the name Gallus gallus (chicken). RNAcentral describes it as "long non-coding RNA NONGGAT016585". The record is from RNAcentral. Lineage: Eukaryota; Metazoa; Chordata; Aves; Galliformes; Phasianidae.
GACGUGAUCCAGGCAGAGCACUCGCUAGGAUCUUGUUGCCCUUUGGGCUAUUCUGUUUCACUUUGUGCAUAAGUGAAAAAAAAAAAAAAUUAGCCCAAGGACACUCGCAUGGGAAAUAGGAUAGGCAGUGUGUGUUGAGCCACCUGUGAUGCUGUUGUUCCUCUGCAAUUUAGGGGAAGCCGGCGGCUAAAAUGUUCUCAGUUGAGUUUGUCGAGAAGCAGAGUGAGUCACCGUCUCCCUUUUCGUAAAGUUAGCACGCUGACUAGCGAGCGCCCUGUCCUUGGGGGCUGAAGUGCCUGAGGAGCCGCUGACGAUCCAGCCGUUCUUAAGAAGAAUGUUACCAGCAAGUUGA